AGGUACACCCCUCUCCCCCUCAUCCAGCGCCUCCCCUGUCGAACAAAUCGAGACGCGAGAGAGACGAGGCAGGGGCGAGCGACGCGGCGCGGCGCCUCCCUGCCGGAACCAGCCCCCGCACGCUCGCCGGAGUCGCCGCCGAGCUGUCCUUCGCCGCGCCCAGGCCGAGCUCCGGGUCGCCGCGCGCACGUGGGGGGCGGCGCCGACGCCGACGCCGCGCCAGAUCUGAGAGGUCCUCACCGACGCCCUCCUGCGGGCCUUCCUCGCCGGAGCCCGGCGGACGGCCCUUCCUCCCCUCCAUUUCGGCUCGCCGUCAGCUCCUCUGCGCCCCAUCGGCAAGCCGCGACGCCACAGCUCUGCGCCCCAUCGGCAAAGCCGCCGGAAAACAAGCUCGCCCCCAUCAGCUCGCCGCCGGCGCCGGUCCAACGCCGCCGUGAGGGAUCCCCCUCCUCCCCGCCGAGCUACAACACCCUAUUCCCCUCUGCUGCACAGGAUGAGGUUCUAGCAGGAAAUAGACCAACAGCUGCCUUGAGUCCCCUUGGCUACAAAAACUUGGAAGAAAAAUUCCUUGCACAGACCGGUCGGCAUUAUGACCGUACAAAAUUAAAGAACCGUUGGGAUACUUUGAAGACACAAUAUAACUUAUGGAAAGAGCUCAAGCAUGCAGCAACUGGUCUUGGGUUUGAUGUUACAGAGGGAUUAAUAGUAGCGGAUGAUGAUUGGUGGAAGGAGAAAAUAGCGGCUAACAAAGAGUAUGGCAAAUUUCGCUACUCACCUAUUGAGAAUCUUAAUGAGCUAGAG
This 801-nucleotide long non-coding RNA is filed under the name Oryza sativa Indica Group (long-grained rice). RNAcentral's name for it is "lncRNA OsLiXu_02g0023590". The record is from RNAcentral. Lineage: Eukaryota; Viridiplantae; Streptophyta; Magnoliopsida; Poales; Poaceae.